This 264-nucleotide ribosomal RNA is filed under the name uncultured bacterium. RNAcentral describes it as "partial 16S ribosomal RNA". It matches the Rfam family "Bacterial small subunit ribosomal RNA", at positions 524 to 776 of the family's 1533-position model. The record is from RNAcentral.
GACGUAGGGUGCGAGCGUUGUUCGGAGUUACUGGGCGUAAAGGGUGUGUAGGCGGUUGUUUUAAGUUUGGUGUGAAAAUCUCCCCGGCUCAACCGGGGAGGGGUGCGCCGAAUACUGAAAUGACUAGAGUGCGGGGAGAGGAAGGUGGAAAUUCCUGGUGUAGCGGUGAAAAUGCGUAGAUAUCAGGAGGAACACCGGUGGUGUAGACGGCUUUCUGGACCGUAACUGACGCUGAGACACGAAAAGCGUGGGUAGCAAAACAGG